AUUAAAGUAACAAAGGGCACACAAGGGAUGCCUAGGUAGAAAGAGCCGAAGAAGGACGUGGUAAGCUGCGAUAAGCUUGGCGAAGUUGCAAACGAACGUGGAUGCCAAGAUUUCCGAAUGGAGCAAUCUGUAAAGAGUCAUGUCUUUACACGAAAGAGGGAACCGGGUGAACUGAAACAUCUAAGUAAUCCGAGGAAAAGAAAGUAACAACGAUACCCUAAGUAGCGGCGAGCGAACGGGGUAGAGCCUAAACCGUAUUCAUGUCAAGGAUGCAGCCGUUGUGGAUACGGGGUAGCGGGAAAGAGAGAGAAAGAACUGCAAGCUAUUUCGCAGACGUAAGCAAAGGAACAAGAAAGAUCUGGAAAGGUCUACCGUAGAAGGUGAAAGUCCUGUAUUGGUAGUUUUCUUGCGCUGUAUCUCUUCUCCCAAGUAAUGUGGAACACGAGGAAUUCUGCAUGAAUCUGCGAGGACCAAAUCUCGUAAGGCUAAAUACUCUUUCUAACCGAUAGCGCAUAGUACCGUGAGGGAAAGGUGAAAAGAACCCCGGGAGGGGAGUGAAAGAGAACCUGAAAUUGUGUGCUUACAAGCGGUCAGAGCCACUUCGGUGGUGAUGGCGUGCCUUUUGGAGAAUGAUCCUGCGAGUUACGUUUCAUGGCGAGGUUAAGAAGAACGGAGCCGAAGGGAAACCGAGUCUGAAUAGGGCGCAAGAGUCGUGGAGCGUAGACGCGAAACCCGGUGAUCUAAGCCUGUCCAGGAUGAAGCUGUGGUAAGACACAGUGGAGGUCCUAACCCACCGCCGUUGAAAAGUUGGGGGAUGAGGUAGGUUUAGGGGUGAAAAGCCAAUCGAACCGGGAUAUAGCUCGUUCUCUCCGAAAUGCAUCUAGGUGCAGCCUUGCGUGUUUAAUGAUGGGGGUAGAGCACUGACUGAACUAGGGGGCAUAUAGCUUACUGAAUUCAAUCAAACUCCGAAUACCAUUAUUCAAGAGCGCAGGAGUGAGACCAUGGGAGUUAACUUCCAUCGUCGAAAGGGAAACAACCCAGACCACCGGCUAAGGUCCCAAAUCAUAUCUAAGUGGGAAAGGAGGUGGAGAUUCUUAAACAACUAGGAGGUUGGCUUAGAAGCAGCCAUUCCUUGAAAGAGUGCGUAAUAGCUCACUAGUCGAGAGUCUCUGCGCCGACAAUGUAACGGGGCUAAGAUAUGAACCGAAGCUGUGGAUGUCGUAAGACAUGGUAGGAGAGCGUUCUGUAGGCCGUCGAAGGAGGACUGAAAGGAACUCUGGAGGUAUCAGAAGUGAGAAUGCAGGAAUAAGUAGCGAGAAGGGGAGUGAGAAUCUCCCCCGCUGGAAGACCAAGGUUUUCAGGGUAAAGCUUGUCUUCCCUGAGUAAGCCGGGACCUAAGCCCAGGCUAGAAUGCGUAGGCGAAUGGAAAACAGAUGAAUAUUUCUGUGCCAGUUCUACUUUGUGAAGGAGGGACGCAGAAGGGUAUGCGCGCAGACGAACGGAAGAGUCUGUAGAAGCAUGUAGAGUGACUUGGUAGGCAAAUCCGCCAGGUUAGACUUAAGGUGUGACAUAUACUCGCAAGAGGAAUGCGCAAAUCCCACGCUGCCGAGAAAAGCUUCUAGCGGUAAAGUAGAGACUGCCCGUACUGGAAACCGACACAGGUGGUCAGGAUGAGAAAUCUAAAGCGGACAGGCUAACUCUCGUUAAGGAACUCUGCAAAAUGGCCCCGUAACUUCGGGAGAAGGGGUGCCUUUAGGCGUGAGUAUACAAGCGAUACAAAGCGCUUUGAGGUCGCAGUGAAGAGGCUCAAGCAACUGUUUAACAAAAACACAGGUCUAUGCGAAGCUGUAAGGCGAAGUAUAUGGGCUGACACCUGCCCAGUGCCGGAAGGUUAAGAGGAGGAGUGAGAGCUCCGAAUUGAAGCCCCGGUGAACGGCGGCCGUAACUAUAACGGUCCUAAGGUAGCGAAAUUCCUUGUCGGGUAAGUUCCGACCUGCACGAAUGGUGUAAUGAUUUGAGCGCUGUCUUGACGGGAGGCCUGGUGAAAUUGUAUUACCGGUGAAGAUACCGGUUACCUACAGUAGGACGGAAAGACCCCAUGGAGCUUUACUGUAGCUUGGUAUUGGGUUUUGGCAUGGCAUGUAUAGGAUAGUUGGGAGACUGGGAAGGAAUGGCGCUAGCUGUACCGGAGUCAUCGGUGGAAUACCAACCAUUCCCUGCUGAAAUUCUAAUCUGUACUUUGGAGGUA
Molecule: ribosomal RNA, 2248 nt
Filed under: Fusobacterium necrophorum
Lineage: Bacteria; Fusobacteriati; Fusobacteriota; Fusobacteriia; Fusobacteriales; Fusobacteriaceae
Description: partial 23S ribosomal RNA
Rfam family: Bacterial large subunit ribosomal RNA
Source: RNAcentral